UUUGAUCGCCAACAGCCGGCAAACGCGGUUCGCUCACUUCGCAGCUUUCGCCACUCUGGCCUUUUGCCGAUUUUCGGUUUAUCUCUAUCUCUGUGGGCAGGAAAAUCGGAAUCGAAUCGGCCCGGCCAUAUAAAAUAAAAGGCCAGACAGUGUCUGGGCUUUGGCACAGUCGUUCGUUUCGCACCAAAUGGGAGACAACAACGUAGGAGAAAAGAGAGUGAGCCACAAAAGAAAAAGAAAUAAUUCGCAGAAAAAUAGUUAACGCGCGUGUUGGUGUGCGUGUGUGUGUGAUGCGUUCGUGUGUGAGAGGCAAAGCCAAGGAAAAUGCAACGGAAGUUUUCAGUCGCAAAGAAGAAAGACGAAAAAUCGCAAAACGGAACUGAAACAUAUUGUGAAAUUCGAGCGAGAGAGAAAGCGAUACAUCAACGUGGUUUCUGGAGCUUCUAGGUUUUUCUACCACCAGGAAUCAAAGAACGUGAAAGAACUCUUAAAAGAGAUGGCCGGAAAGAAGAACGAGCGUUUCAAAUAUAGAAUAUCAAGGGUCUGCCGGACGAAGCGCAAGAAAAAGAGAAUUUGCUGAAUGAAAUGUAAUAAUUCGCCGACGGAUGACGUCACGUCCUAUGUGGUCAUUAGCACUCCAGUGGCGCAACCAGGGGGCCAGUACUACGCUCCGAAAUAGUUGGUAAAACUUUUGACAUUCAAACCACAUUAAUACACAAUUUUCAGCACUUAAAGAAUGGAAGACUACAAAGUGAAAACCCCGCAAUUUGAAUCUAAAUACGCCCCUGGUUCCAGUUUUCUGCUCUCAUAUGACUAAUUUUGGCAUUGUUAUUGCAUAAAAUUCGCAUGGCGUCAUCAUCAUCAACGCGUACAACUACCAAGCUCAAAAAGAUCGUUAACCCCAAAGCGACGGAGACCUAAUACCAGGCACAAGGUCGCCUCCCGUGACCCCCUCCCCAGAAGGGGGUCGCCAUACGCUGAUGCAGUUUUGUUGCCAGGCGGCCGCCAAACAUCUGUCUCAGAACUGCAAAUGCUGAAAAAGAAACCUGACUGGGCUUGGCUUGGCCUGGUCUGGCUUUAUAUCUACAUCUUCAACUCCAGCCGCAGCUCCUACUCGUUAUAUGUGAUGAUGUUCCCCCGACUGAAAAGUCUCCUACCUUGCGCGCUAAUCAGUGACCGGGGCUUGUUUUUUAUAUACAGUCAGGUACCUGAAGUAGCGCGCGUGGUGGCAGACAUAUAUCUCCAUCUCCGUCAUAUAAAUAAGCCAAAUGCUCGCAGGCGAGUCCUCGCCAGAAAUCCCAUGUGUAUCAACUGUCUCCCAUGUCUAUUGUACUUCAUCAGGUGCUCUGGUGUGUCUCGUAACCCGGCACAUGUUGAAGUACACUCAAUAUGAGGCGAUUUGCAUACGAAAGCGACCGAUACAAGUGUUCAACGGAUUGGCUAAUCUAAAGAUUAGUAAAAUAUUAAAGUACUCUUUUUAUUCAGUUUUCCUUCAAUAAAACUUAGGAGCUGUUCGUUACAAAUAAAAUUAUGGCUUCUUGAAA
This is a long non-coding RNA of Drosophila sechellia, 1544 nucleotides long. RefSeq lists it as uncharacterized. The record is from RefSeq and is a predicted model, not a curated record. The transcript is spliced from 2 exons. Lineage: Eukaryota; Metazoa; Arthropoda; Insecta; Diptera; Drosophilidae.